RNAcentral lists this ribosomal RNA (1326 nucleotides) under Clostridium sp. enrichment culture clone HT13. Its description in RNAcentral is "16S ribosomal RNA". It matches the Rfam family "Bacterial small subunit ribosomal RNA", at positions 93 to 1440 of the family's 1533-position model. Lineage: Bacteria; Bacillati; Bacillota; Clostridia; Eubacteriales; Clostridiaceae. The record is from RNAcentral.
GAGCGGCGGACGGGUGAGUAACGCGUGGGUAACCUGCCCUGUACACACGGAUAACAUACCGAAAGGUAUACUAAUACGGGAUAACAUACGAAAGUCGCAUGGCUUUUGUAUCAAAGCUCCGGCGGUACAGGAUGGACCCGCGUCUGAUUAGCUAGUUGGUAAGGUAAUGGCUUACCAAGGCAACGAUCAGUAGCCGACCUGAGAGGGUGAUCGGCCACACUGGAACUGAGACACGGUCCAGACUCCUACGGGAGGCAGCAGUGGGGAAUAUUGCACAAUGGGCGAAAGCCUGAUGCAGCAACGCCGCGUGAGCGAUGAAGGCCUUCGGGUCGUAAAGCUCUGUCCUCAAGGAAGAUAAUGACGGUACUUGAGGAGGAAGCCCCGGCUAACUACGUGCCAGCAGCCGCGGUAAUACGUAGGGGGCUAGCGUUAUCCGGAAUUACUGGGCGUAAAGGGUGCGUAGGUGGUUUUUUAAGUCAGAAGUGAAAGGCUACGGCUCAACCGUAGUAAGCUUUUGAAACUAGAGAACUUGAGUGCAGGAGAGGAGAGUAGAAUUCCUAGUGUAGCGGUGAAAUGCGUAGAUAUUAGGAGGAAUACCAGUAGCGAAGGCGGCUCUCUGGACUGUAACUGACACUGAGGCACGAAAGCGUGGGGAGCAAACAGGAUUAGAUACCUGGUAGUCCACGCCGUAAACGAUGAGUACUAGGUGUCGGGGGUUACCCCCCUCGGUGCCGCAGCUAACGCAUUAAGUACUCCGCCUGGGAAGUACGCUCGCAAGAGUGAAACUCAAAGGAAUUGACGGGGACCCGCACAAGUAGCGGAGCAUGUGGUUUAAUUCGAAGCAACGCGAAGAACCUUACCUAAGCUUGACAUCCCACUGACCUCUCCCUAAUCGGAGAUUUCCCUUCGGGGACAGUGGUGACAGGUGGUGCAUGGUUGUCGUCAGCUCGUGUCGUGAGAUGUUGGGUUAAGUCCCGCAACGAGCGCAACCCUUGCCUUUAGUUGCCAGCAUUAAGUUGGGCACUCUAGAGGGACUGCCGAGGAUAACUCGGAGGAAGGUGGGGAUGACGUCAAAUCAUCAUGCCCCUUAUGCUUAGGGCUACACACGUGCUACAAUGGGUGGUACAGAGGGUUGCCAAGCCGCGAGGUGGAGCUAAUCCCUUAAAGCCAUUCUCAGUUCGGAUUGUAGGCUGAAACUCGUCUACAUGAAGCUGGAGUUACUAGUAAUCGCAGAUCAGAAUGCUGCGGUGAAUGCGUUCCCGGGUCUUGUACACACCGCCCGUCACACCAUGGAAGUUGGGGGCGCCCGAAGCCGGUUAGCUAACC